AGAUAGACUGGGCGAACCUGACCGCCUUCGCGUGAGUGAAGAAGGCCUUCGGGUUGUAAAGCUCUUUCGCAAGGGAAGAAAACUUAGGCGCUAAUAUCGCUUGAGGUUGACGGUACCUUGAUAAGAAGCACCGGCUAACUACGUGCCAGCAGCCGCGGUAAUACGUAGGGUGCGAGCGUUAAUCGGAAUUACUGGGCGUAAAGCGUGCGCAGGCGGUUUUGUAAGUCAGAUGUGAAAUCCCCGAGCUCAACUUGGGAACUGCGUUUGAAACUAUAAGACUAGAAUAUGUCAGAGGGGGGUAGAAUUCCACGUGUAGCAGUGAAAUGCGUAGAGAUGUGGAGGAAUACCAAUGGCGAAGGCAGCCCCCUGGGAUAAUAUUGACGCUCAUGCACGAAAG
Molecule: ribosomal RNA, 397 nt
Filed under: uncultured bacterium
Lineage: Bacteria
Description: bacterial SSU rRNA
Rfam family: Bacterial small subunit ribosomal RNA
Source: RNAcentral